UACGUAGGUGACAAGCGUUGUCCGGAUUUACUGGGCGUAAAGAGCGCGCAGGCGGUCGAUCAAGUCGAGUGUGAAAGCCCCCCGGCUCAACUGGGGAGGGUCAUUCGAUACUGAUCGACUCGAAGGCAGGAGAGGGUAGUGGAAUUCCCCGGUGUAGUGGUGAAAUGCGUAGAUAUCGGGAGGAACACCAGUGGCGAAGGCGACUACCUGGCCUGUUCUUGACGCUGAGGCGCGAAAGCUAGGGGAGCAAACGGG
Molecule: ribosomal RNA, 255 nt
Filed under: uncultured bacterium
Lineage: Bacteria
Description: partial 16S ribosomal RNA
Rfam family: Bacterial small subunit ribosomal RNA
Source: RNAcentral